AUUGAACGCUGGCGGCAUGCCUUACACAUGCAAGUCGAACGGCAGCACGGGAGCAAUCCUGGUGGCGAGUGGCGAACGGGUGAGUAAUAUAUCGGAACGUGCCCGGUCGUGGGGAUAACGUAGCGAAAGCUACGCUAAUACCGCAUACGAUCUACGGAUGAAAGCGGGGGAUCGCAAGACCUCGCGCGAUUGGAGCGGCCGAUAUCAGAUUAGGUAGUUGGUGAGGUAAAGGCUCACCAAGCCGACGAUCUGUAGCUGGUCUGAGAGGACGACCAGCCACACUGGGACUGAGACACGGCCCAGACUCCUACGGGAGGCAGCAGUGGGGAAUUUUGGACAAUGGGCGGCAAGCCUGAUCCAGCAAUAGCCGCGUGCAGGAUGAAGG
RNAcentral lists this ribosomal RNA (385 nucleotides) under uncultured bacterium. RNAcentral describes it as "bacterial SSU rRNA". It matches the Rfam family "Bacterial small subunit ribosomal RNA", at positions 29 to 414 of the family's 1533-position model. The record is from RNAcentral.